CAGCGCCGCGGUAAUACAGAGGUCCCGAGCGUUGUUCGGAUUCACUGGGCGUAAAGGGUGUGUAGGAGGUCGGAUAAGUCAGUUGUGAAAUCCCGCUGCUCAAUAGCGGAACUGCAAUCGAUACUGUCCGGCUAGAGGAUCGGAGGGGGAAGCGGAAUUCUUGGUGUAGCGGUGAAAUGCGUAGAUAUCAAGAGGAACACCGGUGGCGAAGGCGGCUUCCUGGACGAUUCCUGACUCUGAAACACGAAAGCUAGGGGAGCGAAUGGGAUUAGAUACCCCCGUAGUCCCUGUCUCUUAUACA
This 301-nucleotide ribosomal RNA is filed under the name uncultured bacterium. RNAcentral's name for it is "partial 16S ribosomal RNA". It matches the Rfam family "Bacterial small subunit ribosomal RNA", at positions 509 to 808 of the family's 1533-position model. The record is from RNAcentral.